AAUGAAGCACCAGUUCUCGUAUGAUCACCAAAGUUAAGUAAUGUCAAGCCUGGUCAGUACCUAGAUGGGUGACCACUUGAGAAUAAUACCAGUUGUC
This is a non-coding RNA of Acanthosepion pharaonis, 97 nucleotides long. The record is from the annotation of a GenBank genome assembly. NCBI's taxonomy places the organism in Eukaryota, Metazoa, Mollusca, Cephalopoda, Sepiida, Sepiidae.